CAGAAUUAAGUAUAGCUGCAAACCUGCUAUGUGUGUGCAUUUUUUUGAUGGAAAUCACCCACUAGGCUGUAGCAUAUGUAUGGCUGAGUAAUAGCUUCUUCUGUGCUGAGCUGGCUGCGGCUCAUCGUUCGCUGCACAUUCACUCCAUGUUAAAGGCCAGACCCUGCUUCAUUACACAGUGUCUUAACCUUGUUUUGCCCUUCUAUCCAAUGACAGCUGCUUUGUUUCCUUUCGCUAGCAGUCAAACAUCACAAAUUCCUUCUCUGUAAAGCCAUUAAAAGAGAACCAACACCACCCCAAGUGGUUUCAGGACUAACUGAUUUAGAUGCUGGAGUCUGUUGCAGGGCCAAAAAUAACUCCCCAUUUCUUUCUCCUUCAUUGGUGAAAGGAGAAGAGAAAGUGGCCAAUGACAGAGACACAACUUCCCCGUAGGCACCAGAGACAAAUCUAUUUCAUAGCAGGAAAAAAAAAUAAUGCUCCUGAAAAAUGUUUCUUUGCUCGGGCCAAUAGACACAGAACCGCUGCAUGUAAUUUUGCUGAACCGAUGGUAUCACUUGAAUGGCUCACGGACUACAUAAAAUGCAUUACAUAAUUAUAUUUUUAAACACUGUCCCCAGCUGUGCUGAUGCACACAAAAGCUGUGUUUACAAUGGACUCUGCACAUGUAAUUAUUUUGUGGCACUAGCUCCGCGCAUUUCCUUGAUGGAUGCUCCAUGGUGCAUAAAAUUGUAGCUUUUAUCAAGAUUCUUGGAUGUAUUCUUUGGCUGUUUCAGCUUUAAACACCCAGCUGUCCUCACAUGGGUGUGCAGGCCUGAUGUCUGGGAGGGGUAAGUUAUAGCAUCUGGGGAACACCUUGCUCUGGGAGCUGCAGGGGGGAACGGUGAUCAGCUGGAAGCAUGCUGAGCAGCAGAGCCUGCUGCUCCUCUCAGGGAGGUUUGCUGCGCUGUUCCUUGGGAUGUGGCACCUGCUCUGCUCCUAUUUGUCUUGCACAUCUUCAUCCUAGCCCCGUUAAGGCUGUAGCAACCCGACCCAGCCACUUUGCAGCACAGGGGGGCGAGGUGGUGCCUUGCAUCUGUGCAGGUGCAGGAGAGAAGGGGCUGCAGGCUGUGGUUGCAAAGUCAAACAGCGUGGCUUGCAGGGUACCAGACCCAAAGAUCAGCUUUGGUUUGUAUUCUGUUCCGUUUGCAUACAGAAAGCUCCCUUGGCUGUUCUCCAUCCUGUUCUGGAAUACCGAGUGUUUCUCCAUCUGAACGCAGUGGCUGAUGUGUGGGACUCAGCAAAGAGGACAGUGGGAUAUUUAUCUUAGAUCUGUUCCAGUGCUCUUGAGUAUUAAUAUCACUGUGAAAACCUAGAUGCUGGAAGGAUCGGUACGCAUCACGGUCCAAGAGUUUUGCCUGCCAAGCAGUAAAGCUUGGAAAUAAAUAAAGACAAAAAGUAAUAGUCCUGAGCAUCGGUUUCAAAGUAAUGGGAUAGCAGCACUGCUGGUAGCGACCUUUUUAUUACUAUCACUGCAGAGAACUGGCGGAUUUUUCUUGUCAAUAAGCAAGAUGGCUUGGCACCGUAUCUCUCAUCCCUUGGGUACGAGACUCCACAGAGGAAAUGCUGAUGUUGUCGUGAGCCAAUUUUUAAUAGCAGGUGUUUGGUUGGAACUCCAGCCUGCCUUGUGGCAGCAGGGAGUGCGAGUCCUUCUGUUACCAUUCCUUGCUCUUUUCAGCCCUGCGUUUGACUGUGGAAGCUGAGAGCCUGGGGGAAGUUGCGCCAUGUAAAGCAGUCAUUGCUCAAUAGUGAAUGAGUUAUUCCACAGCAAAUGGUCUGGCUGCUGGUACACCAAGUUUUCCACUCUCACAUGAAUACAGUCAUUUCCCAUCAUGGAAACUGUGUGGCUAUGGAUGCCCUUAGCAUUCCCCCUGUCUGGCAUGUUAAGUUUACAUACCAGCUUUGAGGCUGCUGGUCCGUUUUGCACCAAAGGGUCAGGCGAUGGAGGAAGAAUCUCUGGAGUGGAAAAAAUGUGGAACUGCAGAAGUUUAUUGUAUGUUUGUUUGCAUAGCCUGCCUUCCAGAUAAAUCGCAUCUCUCCUAGUACAGCAGCGCUGGAAAAAGAGCCCUUGGAUGACCCACUUGGAGUCUGAGACACCAGAGGGGCUACUUCAGAAAAGAAAGCAGAGGAAGGCGCCAGAAGCCAUGCAGAAGAAACACAUCUGGAGUAAGCAGUGCUUUGUGUUGUCCACGUGUGUGCACGUGCUGCAUCUGGAUCACAAGCCAUUGUUAUUUUAUUGGGGAUAGUGUGUCUUGUACAUAUACAGACUGCAUUUUUCACCCUGCAUGCUUCUUACUAAGGCAUAACGUAUUACUUUCUCAAGGGCCCAUUUCCUACUGCUCCCUUUAUCUUCCCUUAGGGAGCCCCACUAGAGUCCAUCAGCCACCUAGGCCAAAAAUAUGUUUUUCAAAUGCCUGAUCAUCUAAUACCAAUCAGCAUAAUUCCACCUGCUUUGAUAAAGCUGUGACUUAAGCCAGUGAAGAUCAAACUCCUUGAUAUUUAAUGCAACAUAGAUAAGCUCAAAAACUUGUGAGCAAGGAAUAUUUCUAGGUGUAACACGUUUCUGCCAUUACUCCACGAUAUUAGCUGCAGUUUCUUGCUGCAGAUGCUUGUUCAAGGCUCAUGUUUAUCUUUAGAGAAGAUGGAAAUAGGAGUUGCCUGUCUUUUGCAAAAUGCUGAUGCUGUGUACAAGCAGAAGUAAGAAUUCACGCAGAAGUGAAGACAAGUCUUGCAGUUCAACAGGAAGAAAACAGAUGUCUUUAGACUGCUGUUUGAACCUUGACCAUUGCCCUUUUGUACCUCUGAGUCACCAGAGGCUUCUGUUUCCAAAAACAAGAUAAUGCCUUGAAGAGCCAAAGUUCAGUGUAAAUUAUGUCACGACUAUAGGAGCUGAGGUGUCAUCUUUGCUGCAGCGAUUCCCUCUUGGAAAUGUUCGAUAAAGCGUGGAAGAAAGUGGCACUGACUCGAUAUAUCUCUGGAGCACUGCAAGUCCAUUCCUGCCAUACUACUAACUGAGGGAAGCGUUUUCUUUUUUUAAUUCCACAAAGCUCUAUAACUGUAUUAUCCAAGCAGCUAAGCACUCAGAUUACGUAAGCUGAACAUAAUAGGAGGUCUGUAAAACUUUGCUGCUCACAGUCUUGGAAAUUUCUACAUUGCUAUUUAAUGGUGACUCAGCUGCAGAUCUCCCAGAUGAUCUCGGAGAACACAUGAUGGGGUUCCGUCUUUGGGAGAGCAGAAUGUGGCCCUCAAGUAUGGCCGCGGCUGGGGCCUUGCUCUCCUGUGCACCCUCAGCUGCUCUGAGAGGUCUUGAGCUGCUGAUCAGCAGAUACUCACUGCCACACCUUCCGGUUCUGUCCUUCUAGGAAUGUUUACCUUGUGUUUUCAAAGCAAUCCACCUCCUGAUUUGCACAGCAGGAGAAUUUAACUGUCGUGCCAGAUAGCAACCUCAAAAUGUACUUUUACGGUCUGUUUCUUCUAAAGGAUAUUUUUGGCCGUAUAAGUGAUGUUUUAAGAAUAAUUUGACUAAGCACUAUUUUUAUGACAUGUAUAGCUUCAUAGCGCAUUACUAACCAUAUGGCCAAACACAGUGCCUGAAGUUACAUGGCAGAGUUUACUGCCCAGUCGGAAUGAAAAACAUCUAUUUUUGAAUGGCUGUGUAUUGGGGGGAAAAACAUGAGUCUUAUGGGAAGCAGCUGAAGGAACUGGGAUUGUUGAGUCUGGAGUAGAGGAGGCUCAGGGGAGAUCUUAUUGCUCUCUACAGCUGCCUGAAAGGAGGUUGUGAUGAGGUAGGUGUUGGCCUCUUCUCCCAGGUAACAGCGAGUGAUAGGACAAGAGGGAAUGGCUUCAAUUUGAGUCAGGGGAGUUUCGGUUGGGGUAUUAGGAAAAACUUCUUCACAUAAAGAGUGGUCAAGCCUUGGGACAGGCUGUCCAGGGAGGUGGAGCAGUCACUGGCCCUGGAGGUGUUGAAGGAAGGGGAAGAUGUUGUACUAAGGGACGUGGUUUAGUGGGAAAUAUUGGUGGAGGGUGGACGGUUGGACUAGAUGAUCUUAGAGGUCUUUUCCAACUCUAAUGAUUCUGUGAUUCUAUGAUUAUAUUUAAAAGUCACAACCUUGUGACCUUUCUUGGUUUUCUUGGUUUUCCCUUGGUCUUGAAUGAGGCUCAUCAUCGUAUCUUACCUAGAUCUUAUCUUGGCAGUGGUAAGAGCUCAUGAGGCCAGAUGGCUCAUGGAAUGACUGGUGAGGGCUUUGUGGUGAAACUAUGUCAACUGUGACUGAAGUUUAUCAUUGGCAUUAUUUGACAGUGUAGGGUAUGUGAGCCCAGCUUGCUGUAGAGAUGUGUCUUCAAUGUGAAAUCCACUGACUCAGUUUGUAUCCGUUAGUGUUGGGCAGAAACACCAAGCACUGAUGUGGCACAGUGAUGAACUGCGCUCAGACGUAGCCUCUCUGGAUUAGAGCUGGGCUGUUCCAUGAGGCCAAUGAUGUUUCCAUUACUUUGUGUUUUCCUCUUCUGCAGACAAAUCAUUCCAGUCAGAUGCAUGCACACACUGGGAUGUUCAUGCAGAAACCCAGACUGGUUCUCCCAGGACCAGGCCCAACUACUCAGUUGGGACUGCCUUACUAACUGAGGCGUAACAGUAGUUAGGUGGGCCUCGAUGCAAAUGUCGCAGGGGGUUUCCCUGCAUGUUUCCAAUGUAUGACUCUACUGAAAUAUCCUCCUUCAGCUUGCUUGGUCACCAUCCCUGGCAUCUGCAAUGCUUUGUGGGUAGCUUUACUGUUCUCGUAAUACCAGCAGCUCUUGUACAAUCUCAAAUCAGCAGUUGUUCUCUUAAGUCAACGCAGGUUUCACCUAUCAUAUUGACUCAGUAGCACACUGCAAAAUUCACCUACUCCCUUAUUCUGCCAAUGAUCACAUCCUAUUACCUGUAAAGCGAUGAUCAACUUCCCCAUUUCUGCCAUAAAACGUAAUUUCCUGUGAGAAAGAACAAGCUCCACCUUCAGAGGGUUGCAAAUGAAACAGGGUGUGUUCAGGGGGUAGGAAGGGGACAUUUGCUGGUUUUGCUCUCGGGAGCCAGGAGACAAAGUGGGGAUCAGGGAAGUCAAGAGCUUUAGCCCUGGCUUUGGUAACGAUUUUCUGUAUGGCCUUUUGUGAGCUCUUUCACGUCUCCACCUCGUUCUGCCCAAGCCUAAAAUGGAGCUCAGAAUCGUCACUUUUCUAACACCUCCCCCUCCCCACACACGGAGGGAGUUGUGAGCAGGUUUAAUGUUUAUCUCGGAGGCUUUGAACGGUAUCAUCCAUCCAGGGAAUGUAUGCGGGCAUUCAGACCCCACAGUGAGCUUUAUAAAAUCGUCAAGAAAUAAAAAGGCAUCUAUAUUAAUCAUAAAUCAAGGACUGGAACAGAACACUUGGUUAACAAACCUGCGAAACAAGCUUUGUUUCAUUGGCUUGCGCUGCUUUAUGGUUCUGUUUGUGUAUGUGGAAGUGAUGUUCAGUAUUUUUAAAUGAGUCACAGGACUGGAAGAACAAAAAUAUUGGAUGGUAACAUAUAGCAGCAAAACAAUUACUCUUUUCAUUCUGACAAGCACAAUAACCAGAAUAGCUAGUUAGAGCUGGAGGUCUGGGCACAGAGCUCCUUUCGAUCUACCAGAGAUUUUCGAUCUACUUGCAAGACAGGCAAGCAGAACUGAAAUGUUAUAAUGAUAAAAGAUAGCAUUAGGUGAAACAAUAAAAUCAAGCAUGCCGUUGGGGUAUGGGUAUUUACAGGCAUGAAGGCUCUCCCGAUCAGUGCUGCAUGCAGAAUGCUCCCACAGCCAGCCUCGUCUAGCAGCUUUCUGUACCUUUAUCCAGAGGAGACUCCUUUCCACCCUGCUUGCUGCAUUGCACCACUGAUUUAGUGAAGACAUCAUCCUCAUAAGGAUGCUCUUCUAACUCACCUCUGAAAUCUGCUUGCUUUUCUCCUCUGACAAUUAGGUUUAAAUGUGCUGCAGCAAAGUACUCAUCCUUAACAGUCGUAUGGCUUUUUAAGUGAUAAACUGCAUUAGCAAAUUCCUUAUUAGAUAAUCUAUCAAAUGAGGUCAUACGUAAUUUUAGCAGUCUCAUCUUGAUUUAUAACACGAUCGCAGCAAAUUACGCAUAGGAGAGCAGCGUGCUGGCUGUCACACUCAGGUGCUCUCACUGUGCUGGGACAGCAGUGCCCAGGCUGGCCGGCAGCUGGCAGCCCUCCCUGUUGCCACAGUGGGACCCAGCUGACUUAGAGCCCUGGGGCUCAGCCCUGGCUUUCUUGGGACCCAUAGGACGUCGAGGCAGGUGUCUAAGCCCUUGCUCCAAACCUCCUAGCAGUAGUCCUUUGUGGUGUUCGUUCUGACAGGCUUUCCCCUUAAAUAGGGGCAUCAGCUCUCCAAAAAGCCAGCUGAUGGGUGGGGUGCCUGCCUGCAGCCUGGCUGCCCGCCAGCCAAAGCCCAAGUGAUGAAAUCCAGGGGGAAAGGGAGGGGAAACACCGCUUCAGAAGGACGCUGUGCUGCUGCUGCUGCAGAUCCUCCAUCCCCACAGUGGAGGUGCUCCCGGGACCGGGAGGAGACGCAAUUCCUAUCCCCCAGCUGCAAACUUCUUCCACAAACAUUAUUUUAUCCUUUGAGAUUUAUCUGUAACUCCCGCAGGGGGAGCUGCAAUAAAUUAUCUGGCCUCGCCCUUCUCCUCACCUGCUCUCACCUCACGUUGGUAUUUCUGGGGUCUGAGCUGUGCUGAGCCUCGAGGGCUCGUGUCAUCUGCAUGUCUCAGAAUAACUUAUGUCUCUCCCUCUGUACUUACGGCCAAACCCUGCCCGGGAAGGACAAAGGAGGAUGGAACGAGAUUUAUCCCUCGGCAUUGUAGGUAUCUGCCCCUAAGCUGUAAAAUAAGAGCUGAAUAAGAAUCUUGAUAAACAUUUCCUUGGGCAAUAUCAAAUAGAGGCCUAGCUAUCGCUGCAGGAAAACUUCUGGAAACUCUGAGUAGGCAGAACACCGCACUGCUUUUGGAGGAACGUUCCUGGAGUGAGGGACUGGAGAAAUCAAAGCAGUUCAUCGAGAAGAGUAAGCAAAGGGAACGCUUGCUGUGGAUGGCACUGCUGUUUUGCACACCCUAAGCUGUGUAUGGCAGAUUGCAGCAGAGCCUGGGGAAGGCAAUUAAAGACCCAGAUGAAGACCAGAACAUCAGACGUCCCUCUGGAGCCCACGUGCCCGAACUGCCGUUCCUCCCCACCCUAAUAUAAACAGCGGGGCAAAAGGGCUCAUUUCUCAGCUGCCACUGAGCAGCGUCGGCUGACGGCAGCGCCGGGACCCCCAAAGCCCUGCCCGGACCCCAGGAGGGGCCCGACCUCUCAGCCCUGCUCCCCGCAGGCAUGGGGGGCACAGCUCCAUCUCCGUGCCUGGCAGCGACGUGCCCACGGGCCCCCAGCAGCGAGCAGCCCGGGUUGGACGCUCGUGCUGCAGACCUGCCUCUGCAGAGGUGUUUGCAGCCAUUGGCACGGGCGCUGCAGAGCCGUUGCCUGGCAGCACGCGCGUCCUCUUCCCCGUGACGAGCGCUGAGCGUCGUCUCCAUCGACCCGACCGCCUCCCAGGCUUCAGCUCCCUGCCCGGGAUAGAGAGCCAAAGGCAGCCUGCGUGCGGGAUGCGGAGACCGUUGCGCUAAACCUCACAGGCUUGAAGGCUCAAGCUGCACGAGGGCAGGCAGGAGCUGCUCUCUUCUCACUGACCGUUUGCCAUGACAUGAGAAUGAACAUCGUGCAACAGGCGACCUACAGCUACAGCUCCAUUCUCCACAGCAUCCCCGCCUUGAGCAGUGGCAGUGGCACAGCAAAGCUGGGCAAACCAAGAGGGGCAGGGACCAGCUGCAGGGAGGUGCAGGGAGGCAGCACGGAAGUUCACCCACCUUCAGAUGAAAAGGGAAACCGGUGGUGGGAAGGGCACGAGAGGAGCAAUGGCGCGAUGGGGAUGGGAAUAGCUGCUGAGGCUGGAGGAGGGUGGGGAGGAAGGGCUGCUCCUGCAUCGCCAGCCCCAGCUCUAGCACCAAACACAAGCAUGAGCUGUCACUGCUGUGGAAUGCAGCAGAUGGCCAAAUUGUUAGAUUCUCCCUUGCAAGAGCAAAAUGAUAUACUGUUUUUUACCAUCCUUGCCUGGAGCUGAGUGCUUGCUUCGCAUACCAUGAAGAUAUACUGUACAAAGGUACUUCGUGCCAGAAAUGUGCUCUAGUGAUAAUCAGGAGAAAACUGUGCUUAAAGUGACAUUUAAAAAAUAAUUAUUAUGGUCCAUUGCUGUUAGUCACACGUCCCCAAAGCUGAUCUGGCUAACAGAGCUUUCCAAAGCAUUUUUCCUUGAUAUGUCAUCUGGAAAUUAUGCCAUCGUGCUGUCACCGUGUCUUGCCUUGCAAUCACCCGGACACUAUCUAUGUGCUCACACACACCAGUUUUUUUCCCUCUUUUAGGGGGAAAGAAAUUCUCUUUUCCUUUCUCUGUUUCUCACGCUGCUUUGGCUGUGGUCAUACCGCUUCUUGGCUCAGCCAUUUGCUGGAGAGAAGAGGCCUUACUGCUGCAGUGCUGGCUAUGAAGCACCGCGAUCCCACCUCCCCUUGCUUGAGGCCUCAGCCAGCAGCACUGCUGGGCCCUGAUGUGCCCCGCAGCAGCUGAAGGCUCUGCAGAACCCAGGUCUGUGUACAGAUGCUGCAGAGCUCACCUGCGUCAUACUAAUAUCAGGUGCUUGAAACUUUAUAUUGGAGGCCCAGGGCUGUGAGUGGCGAGUCAUUGCAGCAGGUGUGCUUUGCCAGCUCCAGCUCUGAGCUGACGAUAAGGGAGAGGGGGGAGGCUCUCAAGAGAGCCCUGGCGGAGACUGAAGUGGAAGAGAAAACCCAGAGUGCCUGGUAAGCCUGUUUAUUGAUCCGUCUCAAUGAAUGCAAAACCCAGGGCAAGGAUCAACGUGGUCUGCAAUCAAGUGAAUGGUAGAGAACGAUCAUUUUCUUGUUGAUGUCUUUUGCGUUCCACUGGAUAUGCUUUGUAAGGAUCGUUGUCUGCUGAGUAUAUGGUGCGCUCUCUCUUCCUGACAGUCCUUUAAAACUUGGACACGUUUUGUUUUCUUUAUAUGGAAAGGCUUCAGUGGGUCAUCUGUAAGCUUUGUUUCCAAAGGUGUUAGGAUGUCUUAAACCUUCAUUAUAGCCUGCCUUUCCUUUGCUGCCCAUCUACAGAACACUCCUGCCUGUGUCACUGCGGUUUGUGCUGCAGCAGCACAUCCUCCCUCCUCUCCUUACACUUUCUCUCAUCCCUUUGCUCAGAAGCUCCUGCUAAGCGUCCCACAGCCAUGACACACUGGCCUACCAGCCUCUCAUCUCCAGUGAAACCUCCAAAUCUCCCCUCUGAGGCCCCCAGUAACUUCCUCUCUGAACUUGCUCCUCUGUUUCUCAGUCAUUCCUCCUUCCUGCUCAUUUUGUCUUGUUCUCGGAUGGUUCAACGCUGCUUUCUUCUUCCUGCUCAUCUGGCACCUGGGUCCAUCUCCUAUCUUCCAUUAGCCAAACAUUCCCUCUCUCAUUCUGUCCAAUCUACCCUGAAUCCCCAUCUUCUUCCCUGGCAAAACUAAACUUCCUCCAGCCAGGUAACAAGGGGGAUCUUUUCUGCGCUGAUGUGAAGGCACGCUUUGGCUAGGUAAAGACAUUAAAACACGCAUUUCUGAAUUAUCCUUAAAGCUGCUCAAGGAAUAAAUGCAAGCUGCAGGCUAUUAGAAUAGGUCUGGGGUCUUGUUUUCUCUACUGCCUUACACUCUCACGUCAUCACUGUCUAUGUUCAAGUUGCUUUUAGCAUCUUUACAUUCCUGCUCAUGACAAACAAUAGGGAACAGCUCCCGUAGAGCACAGGAAAUAUAGCAGCAAGUGUCUCGCAUCCAUUUUUCAUCUGUCAUCAAAUAGCUUUUAUUCAUGGCAUAGCACAAGUGUCAGCCAACUGGCAAAGACAGCCUGUAUUAAAAAUGCUGGGGAUUAUUCAUGUCAACAGGCACAAGGGAGCUCUUCUCGGUUGGCGGACCUGCAGCAGCAGUGCUAUGGAAAUGCAGCAGGUCCUCCAGAGUAAUCUCAAAUCUGAACAACUUCAGAAAGAGGCCAACAACUGAUGAUCAUUUCCAAGCACAAUUCAAAAAACAAAAUCUAGCACAAUCAGAUGAGAGCUUGGGUAGAGGGUUAGCUGUGGGUACGCAGGAAAGCUUAUAUCAGAAGCAUGUUAUGUAGAAGGACUAAGGUGAUAUUUUUAUAACAGUGCUUAGAUUGAAGAUGGUCUGCAGGCUGUGAGCUGGUGCUUUCUUCUGGAGUUGACUUCUGGUUAGGUAAUUAUCAGGUAGACGGGGCCUCGGCCCCUCUGAUUGCAGGCCUUGACUGCUUGAACGUAUUGGGAAUGUGAUCUUCACUGGCCAAGUGAUUUGUCUUUUAUGGACAAGGUAUAAUUUAGAAAUCAGUAAUUCUUUUUCCUUUUAGUGAUUUUUUUUUUUUUUAAAGCCCCGUUUCACUGAAAAUCUCUGUUACUAUAUUUGUCAGACCAUUACUAAGGAAAAACAGAACAUAAGAUGGACACAAACAACAAAACUGCUUACCUUAACACAUGAGGUAAUAUAGGAAAAUUACAGAGAUUUCAUAUAUCUCAAGUUAGCUCCGAAGGGCAGUUCCCCAUUGAUUAUUUCAAGCCCGCUGUAUUUGCAAAAUCCUCUAUAUCCUGCCACCUCUUCUUGCCUUUUUGAAUUGUUACUGUUGAAGCGUGUGGCCUGCUUCUCUCCCCCCUCCAUUACUGUGGACUUGUUUCAUUCUCUAAACUGAUGCUAUGUGCAUGUGACAUCAGGAGCAAUGUAAGUGGAAGAUAAAAAGUAAGGCCCGUGCAAGUGAUCACGAAUGAGGUGACCUCAUCUGAUCUGACACAGAUCUACGUUCCACUUAUGCUCCGGAAAAUCUUGGAUGCUGUAUUUUAGUAAAAACCUCAUUUCUGCACAAACGCGUGAUACAGAAGAAGCCCAACCAGCAAAACCUGAAGAUGUAUCCCAUGGCAUCUCCAUGACAACGUAUAGAUGCACAUUCUGCUCCAUACAUCCGCACGGGCAGACGGCUUGCUCUCAGCUCACCCACUACAGAGCUGAAGGCAGGCCAAGGGCUGCUGCAGUGAAAGGUGCUGGGAUUUAAUGUGGAAACUGCAGCUCAUCGUUCACGCAGGAUAAAACUGUGGCAAAUGAAAGAGCCUUCUCAGAGGGUGAGCUGUGUACUCGAGCUCUGGUUGCUGAGCUGCUCGGUGCCAGGGAGGCAUGGUGCUGGCAGGUGUCCGGUGGGCACUGGGAGCCACAUGGAGGCCCUUCGCUAGGCACUCCAAGGCUUUCUGGAGGGCUGUUGCUACACCUCAGUGGCAGAGCUAGAUAAGAACAGGAGGCAGUUUGGGUUAAUGAGUUACUCUAGAGGUUGUUCCCGCCCUGCACAUGCAGGAUGGAGGGCGAGUGAUCCUGUGGAGGCCCCGAGGCAGCAAGUGCCAUCACUGCUCCUCGGGGGCAUGCGGGACACCAGACUGGCCAGCAUCCCCGAGCAGUGACAGCCUCAGUAAAUCCCCUCUCCUGGCUGCCUUCCUACCCUGCCUCAUGCCCUGCCAGUGUGCCUGGCGUCCCACCCACUGAAGCAGCCAAAGCGCUGCAGUUUCACACCCAGCUGAUGAUGCGGGGCUCCUCCAUCCGCUGUGCCCCCAGCACAGCCCCAGCCCGGCUGCUGCAGUGCCCGCAGUGCAGUCUGUGGAGCUGAACCGAUGCCUGCAGCAUUCCAGAGAUAUUUGCUAUAAGCAGGGCGGUGCAUUCAGCUGCCCAACAGAGCAAGGCUGGCUUCUCCAUCCUUGUUUCUGAUAUCUGUGCUGGAACAUGGAAAUUCACCUGCGCCUGUAAGCAAGGCACCUUAAGCAAGUUAGCUCUGCUGCUCAAGUUUCCUUUCCGAGACAUGGAGAUAACAAUACUGACCUUCUUUGCAGAGCACUUUCUUGUUAGUUAUUAUUUUACAAGGCAUGCCACAUAAAGGCUGGUUGUUAUCUUUUGUUCGGCUGUAAAAAGUUCUCAGCCUAACAAUGGGGCAUGGCAUGUUACCAGCCAUAAAAAGAGUUACACUGAUCUUUAGCAUUUAAGAGUGGACCUUUGUUCUGCUUGGUUACUUAUAACCUUUACAGUGGUGUGGCUUAGUCUCUUACCUUUUUUCCUUUUUCCACACUCUGUGUAUAUGUACUGUGUACAUGUGGUUGACUUUUGCUUUUGUCAGGGUCAAAGAUUGCAUUUUUUAGCCUAACAUACCAAUGUCAGCCAAGUGACCAACCUGUGAUCUGCCAUUCAGCACAUUUCCUCUGAAAUAGAAGGAAAAUUAGUUUGCCAACAGACAAGAAGCACGGACGAGAAAACACAGAACCAAAAAGGACUAAAAGGAUUAUGAUCCCUAAGAAAUGAUCUGCCUUCAGCACAUAUUCUAUGAACAUGUCGUGCUGACUGCCAGAACUUGUCCAUACUUUGCAGCUUUCAUCCUGUUGCCAGAGCUGGCAGCUGUUAUCCUGGUUGCCAAUCUUCCUGUCCAGCUGUACAUCCUCCAGCCUGAAAACAUCUUCUUCAGCCUCUCAAGGAGAACAGAAACAGAUCCAUAGUCUCUUGGUGGAGAUGAUUUUGCAGGGCUGUGAUCCAAGCCAGAAGGCUGAGCAGGAGUCCACUUUCCAUGCACAAGCUACCACCGCAGAAAUGAUGUGCAAAAUGGCUCUUUUACUCUUCACUCAAGGCUUUUAAGGACAUUUGCAGACCUUGUACGCAGUGGGAAAGAGGCAGAGGAGGAGAGUGACUGGGCAGCCCUCCCUUCUUUCCAAGUGGAAGCGGCCUAGCAGGCUGUUUUUAUCUCCAGGACUCCUCCUGAAGGACAUGCUGAAUUAAUGCCCCAAGCAGGAGUGCAGCUGAAGGCUCACCGUGCCCUACAGAGAAGUGACAACACAGCCGCAGGUGGCAGGACCCCUCCCUUGGUCUUUGUGCCCUUCAGUGGUGGACGAAGGCUCCAGCGAGGUGUUUGCAGCCUACAGAGGCCAUGAGCACGGUGCCUCUGCCUGUUGGUUCACCAAGCGAAGGCAACAGAGUCAAAGUAGCGGAAGGCCUGUGCACGAUGGGGCUGUGAUACUGGCCUGGGUGAGCAGCUAGCACUAAUUUGAGCAGCCCAAAGGUCACGACUAUUUAUGCAGAUAAAAGGUCAGUGGCAAGCUGGCAGGUGGCUGUGGGCUAUCUUGGUACGCGCUGCGCCCCGGGCGCUGAUGUCUGCGUCUGGUUCACAGUUAGUUUGUCUUUCCACAUGGACUUUCAGGCCAGGUUCUGGCUGAAAUAAAACACAACGGGGAAAGAAAUCUCUGGUCGUGUGAGUUGAUGCUGUUGGGAGACAGCUGCAGUUUUUGUGGCUUGGGCUCAUCUGUAGCUAAAUCAAACCUUUGAAUCAUUAUUUAUAAAAGACAGCCAAAUUCUGAACCGUUUGCUCAGUGUUUAGUCAGCUCUUACAUGGACAAACUCCUGUGAAAGCGUGCGUGAUGGCAGACAAGGGAAAAACUGAAUCAGGUGCCCUGUUGAGAGGCAGCAUGUCUGGCCAGGAACUCCAGCAGCAGUGGGCGUCUGCACUGCAGGUGCCUGGGAAGAAGUCACCUCAGAGGGGCAGGACCUUACAGCACGGCCUGAAUUGCCAGAGCAUGUUCAGGUUAGCUGAAACAACAUCUAGGUGGGCGAAAAAGGGAAGCAAGUAUACUAUGUUUAGUCCAGUCAGAUUCUAUGCUAUGUAUGUUUGAAACUUUUAUAGUCAGUCAGUACCAGUGCCGCAUCCUUUGCUCUCAUUAAAGAGCAAAAAUGCUUUCAACCUUUGGUUCCAGGAGUUGUCUGUCUGCCUAUACCAAUUUUAAACAAAAUCCUUUAAUGUUCUCCUGUAAUUUGGUCCAAUACAGCCUGGUCUCCAAGACAAAAUAUGCAAAAUAUUUUGUGACAUUUCAUUCCCCAAACAAAAGGUAAUGGGAAAACAUCAUUAUAUUGAUUUGUUUUUCAUCACAGAGGUAUUUGGCAGCAUGCCCUAAUUAAGGUUGUAGCAAUAAUUUUAUUAUAAGCACUGCUUUGCCUCCCCUGGUAAUUUUUUAAUAGGAGUUAGCUAUUAGUCUGUUAUUUUGGUUUGCUAAUAAAGAAAAAAAAAAUAUGUUACAAUGGAAACCUCCCAUGUAGAAAGCAACCAAAGCUAGUUGUCUUCAGACCUGGAAAAGCAUUUCUUUUUUUCUGUCUUCCCAUUGGAAUGGAUGACCACUAAAUUCUUCCCUGACUGCUGUCUUCCUAGGCCUGCCCCCACACCCAGGGAAGUUUAAGCAGUGACUUGAGCACCACCUGCUAGGAUGUGUUUUGUCAAGACUGAUAUCUCUAUUAUACCCUUUCUUCACUUCAUAUUUGGCGGACUUGGCUAUAGGCAAACUGAAAUGAAUCUGCAGCAGUGGCAUAGUCUGAUAGGUGAAACAGACUAAUUUGUAUGUGUUUUCCCACUGAAAAUGGCAAAAUUCCAGCCACUGAACGUUCACGAGUAUUCUGCUCAUUGUGUUCAAGCCAAAAAGUCUCCACAGGACAUUAGGGUUUGACCCGAUGUCCGCAGACACGCUGCACACAACCCAAGUGUGGUGGCACACUGGGUGGCCAUGCAGGACUUCCCUUCGAUGGAGCCUUCUGGCCCACCAGUGGGAGUGCAGGUGACUCCUGCAGACUUUCUCUCAAAUCUCUUUGGAGGAAAUUAAAAUAAGCCUUUGCAGAAACUGGAGGAAUCGGAAUGCACCCAGCCAUUUUCUGGAUUUAAUGCUACCUCUUGUGUUAUUGUCUUCAGUCUCUGAAAAACAGAACUGUCCAGUAGAUAAUGACUGUUAGAUUACUAAUUAGCACAUUUCUGUUAUCUUGGAGCAAAUACAUUUUUUAUGCUUUCCCUCCUAUUAAAGUAUUUCAGAAAACAAAACAGAAAAAGCAAAAUCUAAUUCAUAAUCGAGUGUUAUGGGCCAUCAAUUCUUGUAUUUCAAGAACAUAGGCUGGAAAGGGGAACGUCUGCUGCUCCUGCCCAGGGUACCCUCCCACAUUCUGCAUCUCCAAGGAGAGACUGUUCCAGCAGGAUGAGCUGGUAUAGCGAG
Molecule: long non-coding RNA, 15202 nt
Organism: Gallus gallus (chicken)
Lineage: Eukaryota; Metazoa; Chordata; Aves; Galliformes; Phasianidae
Source: Ensembl